Molecule: ribosomal RNA, 699 nt
Filed under: Triticum aestivum (bread wheat)
Lineage: Eukaryota; Viridiplantae; Streptophyta; Magnoliopsida; Poales; Poaceae
Description: partial small subunit ribosomal RNA
Source: RNAcentral
AUGCCUUCUGCACAUGCAAUUGCAACAAUACGCACCAUUACUAGUGACUUGACAAGUUACAUUGCUAGUUGUUUUUAUGUUGAGGCAUUCAAAAGAACAUAUGCACAUUGUCUACAACCUGUUAAUGGCAUGGAUUGUUGGCCAAUAUCACCAAGGACUAGACCUGCGGCUCCUAGUUAUGUCAAGAUGCCUAGUAGGCCAAGGACUGAGAGAAGAAAGGAGGAAACUGAGAAAAAAGUGUCGAAGACCAGAUUGCCAAAGAGUGGGACACUCAUCAGGUGUGGUAAAUGCAAAGGAGUUGGUCACAACAGAACAACAUGUCAUAGACAGCCAGGUGGGCAACAGAGUGGACAACAAAGUAGACAACAAACUGAACAACAGAGUGGACAACAAAGUAUAGAACAGAGUGCUACUUCACAUAGGGAAAAUGUUGUGCCUUCUCAACAAAGCACCAAUGAUGCAGCUACAACUAGAGUGACAAAGAGACCAGUACCCAUGUCCAAGCCUCCUAGGCCUGCUGUCCAAGGGAAAGGGAAGAAUACUCAGAAGAACAAGUCCUCCUCGAAGGCUGCAAUGAAAGGUGUUAAUGUCAAUGUAAGUUCUAGCUCAGGUGUCACUGUCAAUGUGAAAUUAGGAAGUGCUAAUUCACAGUUCAAGGCACCUGGAAGGGACACAAAAAGGGAAAGGAAGUUACCUACA